Molecule: ribosomal RNA, 301 nt
Filed under: uncultured bacterium
Lineage: Bacteria
Description: partial 16S ribosomal RNA
Rfam family: Bacterial small subunit ribosomal RNA
Source: RNAcentral
CAGUAGCCGCGGGAAUACGUAGGGUGCGAGCGUUAAUCGGAACUACUGGGCGUAAAGCGUGCGCAGGCGGUUCGUUAAGUCUGUUGUGAAAGCCCCGGGCUCAACCUGGGAAUGGCAAUGGAUACUGGCGAGCUAGAGUGUGUCAGAGGAUGGUGGAAUUCCCGGUGUAGCGGUGAAAUGCGUAGAGAUCGGGAGGAACAUCAGUGGCGAAGGCGGCCAUCUGGGACAACACUGACGCUGAGGCACGAAAGCGUGGGGAGCAAACAGGAUUAGAUACCCCUGUAGUCCCUGUCUCUUAUAA